AGUUCUCUGAUCUGUUUGAUAUUAGUGAGCCUCAUGUCCAAAUUUCAUACAAGUUCUAGAUACCUUCGAAAGUCUGCCAGUCCUACAUCCAGCUGUUACAUCUAAGCAGUUACAACCAUACAGCAUGGUAGGGGGUGUGUGUUCUGCAGAGUGAACCAGAUGCCUGAUCCAGGUGCAGAGGAUCGAGGUGCUCCUCAGGCUUGAUGGUGAACAAGUGGACCCGCAUGGAGCGCCAGCUGUCCGCUGGGCUCUAGGGCGCUGUGUCCACCUCCCUGCCUGAGACCUUCUCAUGGACCUUCCUGUGGCACCUCAGCCUCAGUGUGCCCAGAGUGCGGUUAUUCCACCAACGUUUCUUCUCUCGCCACACUCUCCCCUCAGCAGGUAUCGUCUUCUUUCACCAAGUCGCCUACUUCAUAAACCCAGAAAUCAGCUUUACAGUGUCACGCCCAGCGUCUCUGACCCUCAGCCUAACUCCAACAUCCCACUUUAGUACACUGAGACCUUCUUCAGUAAUAACCUUAAAAUGCAAAGAA
Molecule: long non-coding RNA, 533 nt
Organism: Cavia porcellus (domestic guinea pig)
Lineage: Eukaryota; Metazoa; Chordata; Mammalia; Rodentia; Caviidae
Exons: 3
Source: RefSeq, a predicted model, not a curated record